CGGAUACAUUAUCUUCCCUCACGGACACUAUAUCACUUUCAUCAAGUGACAGUGACCUCAGGGAAAAGGGCAUUCCUGCAGGCCGCAGUAGAUCCAGCAAAGACAGUUCUGCACCAAAUGUUUCUGUGUCAGAGGCUGCAAAAGAGAUGGUUAAAAAUGCCUUGACUAGGAAACCUGGUGGAGAGGAAAUUCUUGAAGAAUACAAUGCCGAAAAUUCACUGAGCCACCGCACCCGGCGGCAUCUUGUUAACAUAUUGGCAAGUGAUAUGACUGAGAGACAUGGCAGAAUUCCCUCCCGUAAGCAAAAGGAGAAAUAUGCCCUUGGAAUAAUUACACUCUUUCCCUCAUUGAAGGAUCCAUUUUCUCCAAACGGCUAUGAGCAUUUCUACGACGGAGUGAAAGGCACUGGAUAUGUAGCGUGGCGCCUCAAAACCAUGUCCAGGUCUACAACCAAACGGCCAGUGAAGGAAGUCCCAGUGCAUCAAGAACAAGGGCCUAAGCGCAGAAGAUUAGCAACCACAUUGCCUCAGCAACUUGAUGGAGAUGCCUGCAAGGAGGCCAUCUCAUUUCUUGUUCACUCUCCUGAUGAAGCAAGUGUAUUUCAGAAGAUGAAAAUGAUGUUCCAACAUCGCCAGGAUCUGGUGCAUGAUCCACAAAGAACUGCAGAUGUCUUCAAAACAUUUCCACGCUUUUUGGAUGUCAAAGGACUAGUCAAUCAAGACUUCCUGCUGCUGUUUGGUGCUGAAACAGCCACCAAGUUGCUUGAGAAGUGGGACAUGUCAUUCAAGCCAAAGGUUAUUAAAGAAGCCAAACAGCUGACUCAGUCAACUGACCUGUGUCGUUUGAUAAAAGCUGCUGAGAAACCAACAGAGAGUGAUGCAAAUGACUGGGACAGUGACAUGGCCUCUCUGCUGCUACUCCUUCAACUUUUGCCACCCACAGCUGGACGAAAGAGGAGAACCAAAAUAAGUCCAACUGAUGCAGCACACAAAAUGGUGCACUUUCACAAGUCAUGCUGCAGCAUUGAUGAACACUUGCAAGCAAGAGAUGGUAAACAACCAUACAUCCUCGCUGUUGGUCGAACCCAGAACAGCAUUGACACCUUCUACAUUGCAGUGGACAAACAGCUCAUCCCCUGCCAAGCCACCAGCUCACUCAGUGCUUUUGAUGAACUUUUCAAAUCCCACUACGUGUUCAACUUAUCUUACGACGAGUCACUGGUUCAUCUCUACAGUUUUGUGCAGACCACCAUAUUCAACAUUGAUGCCACCUCAACAGAUGAGUCACCACGUGUUCGUGAGUUGCGUGCCAAAAUGUUGAAUGAGAACCAUGUUUAAAUGUUUUAUCUGUCAAACUCUGCAUAGCACCAGUCAGGCUUUGAUAAGUCAUUUGCGACUAGGUCACAGUUUUUAUCCAAGCACCAAAUUUAAGUUGGCUUGUUCACAAGAUGGUUGCAGCCGUCAGUUCACUACAUAUUCUGGUUUAAAAAAACAUUUAAAUAGUGUUCAUGAUGAAGAUUGUUGUCAAAGUGGUGAUGCAGAACCCUCAGAGUCAUUUCAAGCUGAUUUUGACAGAUUACAAGAUACAGACAUAGCAGUUGCAGGAACAAGUGUUACUCAGAGCCUAGAGGUUGGGUGUUCUGAAAACAAUGGGUCAGGUCAAAGAAUUAAAAAAAAUUCUGAAGCAAUUUGCACUAAAAUUAUUGGUAAACUCAAUGGUAGUGGUUUGGCAAAUAGUUUUGUGUCAUCACUUGUUUGUGAUUUGGAAGAUUUUGCAGAUGGACUGCACUGUGAGUUUAAACAUAAAGUACUGAACGUUGUGCCAACAGAAAAUCCUGUUAGAUCUCCAGUGGAAAAAUGUCUUGAGACUUUUGACAAUCCAGUUGAGAAGUUCGACACUGAAGCUAAAAGAAAGUCAUAUUUCCGUGAAAAAUGGGGAAUUGUGGAUCCAGUGGAAAAGACUUUAGGAAUACGCUAUGAUACAAGGUUAAAUAAAAAAUCAGGCACUUAUGACCAGGUACCAGUAAAAGACACUUUUGUGUACAUUCCAAUUUUGGAAACAAUCAAAUUUAUAUGUCGCAAUUCUUAUAUUUGCGAGCUGCUUGCUAAACUAUGUGUAUCAAAAGAAGACAGAU
This is a long non-coding RNA of Astatotilapia calliptera (eastern happy), 2134 nucleotides long. Lineage: Eukaryota; Metazoa; Chordata; Actinopteri; Cichliformes; Cichlidae. The record is from Ensembl.